GAUGAACGCUGGCGGCGUGCCUAAUACAUGCAAGUCGAGCGAACAGACGAGGACCUUGCUCCUCUGACGUUAGCGGCGGACGGGUGAGUAACACGUGGAUAACCUACCUAUAAGACUGGGAUAACUUCGGGAAACCGGAGCUAAUACCGGAUAAUAUAUUGAACCGCAUGGUUCAAUAGUGAAAGACGGUUUUGCUGUCACUUAUAGAUGGAUCCGCGCCGCAUUAGCUAGUUGGUAAGGUAACGGCUUACCAAGGCAACGAUGCGUAGCCGACCUGAGAGGGUGAUCGGCCACACUGGAACUGAGACACGGUCCAGACUCCUACGGGAGGCAGCAGUAGGGAAUCUUCCGCAAUGGGCGAAAGCUUGACGGAGCAACGCCGCGUGAGUGAUGAAGGUCUUCGGAUCGUAAAACUCUGUUAUUAGGGAAGAACAAAUGUGUAAGUAACUAUGCACGUCUUGACGGUACCUAAUCAGAAAGCCACGGCUAACUACGUG
This 497-nucleotide ribosomal RNA is filed under the name uncultured bacterium. RNAcentral describes it as "partial 16S ribosomal RNA". It matches the Rfam family "Bacterial small subunit ribosomal RNA", at positions 28 to 507 of the family's 1533-position model. The record is from RNAcentral.